CCGGUGCGGGAUGAAGGCUUCGGGUUGUAAACCGCUGUCAGUGGGAAGGAAAUACCGGUGAGUUAUCUCAUCGGCUUGACUGACCCGCAGAGGAAGUGUGGGCUAAGUUCGUGCCAGCAGCCGCGGUAAGACGUACCACACAAACGUUAUUCGGAAUCACUGGGCUUACAGGGUGCGUAGGCUGUGCAGCAAGUGGGGUGUGAAAUCCUACGGCUUAACCGUAGAACUGCGCUCCAAACUGCUGUGCUUGAGGGAGAUAGAGGUGAGCGGAACUUACGGUGGAGCGGUGAAAUGCGUUGAUAUCGUAAGGAACACCGGUGGCGAAAGCGGCUCACUGGAUCUCUUCUGACGCUGAGGCACGAAAGCUAGGGGAGCGAACGGGAUUAGAUACCCCGGUAGUCCUAGCCGUAAACUAUGAGCACUGGAUUGAAGGGCCCUCCAUAGCCUUUCAGUCGCAGAGAAAUUGUUAAGUGCUCCGACUGAGGAGUAUGGUCGCAAGGCUGAAACUCAAAGGAAUUGACGGGGGCUCACACAAGCGGUGGCGGAUGUGGCUUAAUCCGAGGCUACGCGAAGACACUUAUCCUAGUCUUGACAUGCACGGAU
This 603-nucleotide ribosomal RNA is filed under the name uncultured archaeon. RNAcentral's name for it is "bacterial SSU rRNA". It matches the Rfam family "Bacterial small subunit ribosomal RNA", at positions 398 to 995 of the family's 1533-position model. The record is from RNAcentral.